UUGGAGCGCGUGCGGUCCACGCUCGAGUAACCAGAAACAUAAAGAGAAUCCGCUCCAACUGUUUUAAGUCGCUCACUUGGCUGCUGCAAUUUGUAUGGUCUGAAAGAGCCCAAUGGCUACUACGAAGAUAGGACUCGGAGUUGGUCCCGUCCCAACAACCACUCACCGAGUCACCGCCGUCGCCGCCCCUUCCUCCGCCGUAUUCUCCCCGCCGCCGCACCGCCUCUUCCUCAUCAACUCGCGCCGGCCGCCCCUCCGACCUCGCCCCUCCCCCUCCCCCUCCGCGUCGCCUCCUCCUCCUCCUCUUCCUCCUCCGUCGCCGCGCCAGGAAAAGGAGUUGAAAAUGUGGUAAUUAUAGGUUCAGGCCCUGCAGGAUACACGGCAGCAAUAUAUGCUGCACGUGCCAAUUUGAAACCUGUGGUGUUUGAGGGGUACCAAGCUGGUGGUGUCCCUGGGGGGCAGUUGAUGACUACAACUGAAGUGGAGAAUUUUCCUGGAUUUCCAGAUGGCAUAAGUGGACCUGAUCUGAUGGACAGGAUGCGACGGCAAGCUGAACGUUGGGGUGCAGAAUUGUAUCAGGAAGAUGUUGAAGCUAUUGAUGUGAAAAGUAGUCCUUUUACUGUCCAAAGUAGUGAACGUAAGGUUAAGAGCCAUACUGUCAUUUAUGCUACUGGAGCUACUGCAAAACGACUUAGGCUACCCCGAGAAGAUGAAUUUUGGAGCCGAGGAAUUAGUGCUUGUGCAAUUUGUGAUGGAGCAUCACCUCUAUUCAAGGGUCAAGUUCUUGCUGUUGUUGGAGGGGGGGAUACAGCUACAGAAGAAGCAUUAUACUUAACAAAAUAUGCUCGCCAUGUACAUUUGCUUGUACGUCGGGACCAUCUGAGGGCUUCCAAAGCUAUGCAAGAUAGAGUGUUUGACAAUCCCAAUGUCGCUGUGCACUUCAAUACAGAGGCAGUGGACCUUGUAAGCAACACCAAAGGACAGAUGUCUGGCAUUUUGGUAAGAAAGAUUGAUACUGGGGAGGAAUAUGUGCUUGAGGCAAAAGGGCUGUUUUAUGGCAUAGGCCAUUCGCCAAAUACCGAACUGUUGAAAGGCCAAGUCGAAUUAGACCACUCUGGCUAUGUACAAGUUCAGGAGGGUACUGCAAAAACUUCAGUUGAAGGUGUAUUUGCUGCUGGAGAUGUGCAGGACCAUGAAUGGAGGCAAGCUAUAACUGCUGCUGGAUCUGGAUGCGUUGCAGCUUUAUCAGUUGAGAGAUAUCUUGUGAGCAAUGAUCUUCUUAUAGAGUUCCAUCAGCCCAAAACUGAAGAGGUUAAGAAGGAACUAACAGACAGGGAUGUACACGAGGGCUUUGACAUUACACUUACAAAGCAUAAGGGGCAGUAUGCUCUUCGAAAAUUGUAUCAUGACAGUCCAAGGCUUAUAUGCGUAUUAUAUACAUCACCAACAUGUGGUCCCUGUAGGACUCUGAAGCCAAUCCUUAGUAAGGUGAUUGAUGAAUUUGAUCAGAAUGUACAUUUUGUUGAAAUUGAUAUAGAGGAAGAUCCAGAAAUAGCAGAAGCAGCUGGAAUAAUGGGUACUCCAUGUGUGCAGUAUUUUAAAAACAAGGAGAUGCUCAAGACUGUCUCAGGAGUCAAAAUGAAGAGAGAAUACAGAGAAUUUAUUGAAGCAAACAAAUAGAAGUAUUUAUUUAAAAAAAUUGAAGGGUGAUACCUGAAUUCUGUGAUUCAAUUUUGUUUUCCAAUUUAACCAGCUGAAUAGCGCUGUCAAUUUUGACAACUAUUCCUUGAACUAAUCAGCAACUUCAUAGUUUGUACAUGUAGAGCUACCAAUCACUAUUACUGUUUUGAUUGUUCAAUAUUGGAUUUUUCAUAUUUGAAUUUAGCAAGCCUCAACUAAGAACAUCUCGUUGACACGUUGUGGUGAGGAAAUUGUGAUCAUCAUCCAAGCUGAAAUGAUAAGUGUCGUUUUUGUAA
This is an RNA transcript of Glycine soja, 1976 nucleotides long. It is a transcript of the gene named NADPH-dependent thioredoxin reductase 3-like, with no coding region annotated. The record is from RefSeq and is a predicted model, not a curated record. NCBI's taxonomy places the organism in Eukaryota, Viridiplantae, Streptophyta, Magnoliopsida, Fabales, Fabaceae. The transcript is spliced from 10 exons.